CGGAGAGGGGCGGGAGUCACGUGGGGGUGGCGGAGCUGUGGCUUCCACACCGGCUGGAGCCGCCCCGAGGGUCUCACCGCCCCCCUCCCCCCCGUCCGAGUGCUGCCGGUGCCCUGUGGGAGCUGCUCCAGGGCUCUGUACGGGGCUACAGGGCCAGCCCAGGAGGAACCGUGCGGGCUGGGGGAGGGCAGAGCGGGCGAGAGAGCCCAGGAGGAACCGUGCGGGCUGGGGGAGGGCAAGGCGGGAGAGAGUCAGCAGCGCGGAGGAGGUGGCCCAGGAGGAAGACUGAGUCCCGAGAGGGUCUUUAUUUACGAAAGCACUGAAAUUUGGGUUUGGUGGUGUUUGGAAGAUGGCGGUUCCGUGCGAGGUGUGAAGUGCUCCCCAAAGAGUUGAGAGUCAGAGAGGUUCCUCCCAGAAAAUACGAGUUGUUCUGGGCUGGAAUCGGCGGUUUGGAUGAUGGUGCUGGGUGUGGUAGCAUCCCUUGGAGGGAUGCUUGGAAAGGGCUUUGUACGAGGACUCCUAGUCUCAAAGAGUACGUGUGCAGGCAAGCAAGGGCUGGAAGUGGGCUGACUGGUUGUAAACAAGGGGUGCGGGUAAAUGGCAGGCGAUGUCGGGUUUUGUUGGCAUCCACGAGGCCAUGGCGGUGAACACUCUUUGGUCGAACUGCCAUUGUAACUAACGAUCUGGCAGAAGAAAACUGUGCUCUGCUCACGAGUCGAGAAAGACACUGUAAGAAAGGAAUGAGGUCACCUCGGAGAAAGGCUUGAAACUUGCUAAAAACAUGUUGCUUUCUUCUGAACAGGCAUACUCAGUUUUUCAAACGUUGCUUUGCUGUACCGCUUUUCUUACCUCGUCAUGAGCCCUUCACCACUGUGUAUUCCUGGCAUAGGCUCUCUUACAUUUCCUCUUUACUCCUCUACCAUUUCCAGAGUUUUACAUUCUACCAUCAUAUGAUUAAUAUUGCUAGUAAAGUGGGUGCAGUUGUGCUUACCCAUCCCAUCUGGCUCUGGAAUUUGGCUUCUCUUGUGUGAUCACUUGCCAAGAUUUUUCAGCUUGCUAGAGUGUGAAAGCAACACUGAAUCCUGCUGCAGGAUCUGGCUUUACCAAUGACUCCUAAAUGUUAUACCAGUGACUUAAACUUAACAUCCAAACCAUUCUCGGCCAUCUUUCUCCUUCUGCUGUCUGCAUUCUUGACCUUGCUCACCAGUCAGGAGAUGACAGAUCUAUCUUUUUUAUGCCUAAUACCUCCAACUCUGACUGAAUUAAACCUCUUUGUUUUGUGAGUUCAGCUGACUGAAGGACAGAAGGGAAAUAUGCGUUGUGAACAACUCCAGAAACAGAGAGCAACAUGUCAGAAGGUUAUGGAUUUGUUCUGUGCGGUCACUUUUGAGAGGCUGAUUGCCAUGAGCACAGAGGAGCGAUGACAGGAGGUGAAACUCCAGUGACGAAAUCACCGGGAAAACAUCAGGGAAGAACACGCUGAUCUGGAUCUGGGACUGUAAAAGGAGGAGGAUGUGCCUCAGGACCAAGUGUGAAACUCACCACACAAGUUAAUGGAAGAGGCUCUCUGGGUUACUACAGAUACCACAUCAUCCUGAGAGGGACAUUGUCCUUGCAUCCCAUAAUGACUUCAGAAAUCCUUGGGAUUGUGCAAGACUUAUUAUAAAACAUUAAGGAGAAGGACCAAGGUAGGGAAAAGGAGGAUCAAGGUGUUUUGAGGAGGGACAAAUGUGAGAAGAUAAGGAAGAGGUAGCAAUAAGGGCCAGUUGUAAGGCCGCUGGUAAGUACCUGAUCAGAGCUGCUUUUCCAGCAUUGUUGCUGAACUUCAUUUGCAACUGUUUUCAUGGAUGAGAGUCUGUCUGUCAGUGGAUGGACAGCUAAGUACCAGUGAACGGAGAGGGGACCAGUGGUCACAGGGGCCCAUGCUUCUGUGAUACCAGCAGCUGCAAAGACUGGAGUGUCUGUAGGGCUGAGUGCCAGCAACUGGACAGAUGCCCAGUCAUAGAUAUCCGUUUGUCUGGAGUGGCAGCAGCUGGAAAGACUGGAGUACAUGUGUCUUGUGAGGAUCUGUACAUCACUGUGUGUAAUUACUAAAGAGCAUGAAGCUGGGCUAGCAGGCUAGUAAGAUAAGCUUGGGAGCCAAGUACUGGAGAUACCAGAGAACCCUGGGUGUGGUCUAUGGGAGGGACUAGGAGCUCCAGGCCAGCUGUGGGAAGGACCCAUGGGGUCAGGGGACCAGCUGUAAGAGAGCCUGUUAGCACGUACCUCUGUACAUGAGGCGACUGUCAGAUCAGGGGAUUCAGGGACUGGGUAUAGAUUGAGUAAGACCAGUUACCAGAGAGAGUCAGAGGGUGUGUGUCACAUGCUCCCGGGGGUUUGGGACCCAGCAACCCAUGUGGACGUGCAGGCCUUAGGGGCUUUUAUGUCCAGGUGCCAGACACUGGAGACACCAGAAGAUCCAGCAGUCAGUUACUGGACAGAUGGAGUGUCUAUGAACAGCCACUGGAGUAUUGUAUGGAGUGUGUGUUCCUUGCUCGCAGGCCUUCAUCCUAAUCAGCCAGACAGGGGAACAGUAUUGUGGAUGUUGGUGCUGUUGGUGGUUGUGCCAGGGCUAUGUUUUUUGUCUGUGUAUCUGUGUGGAUGGCUGCGUGUGCAUGUGUGUACUCUACACUUCCACCUAUUGAGAAAACAUGCUCAGCCCCACUAUUGGCAUCCUGGCCUCUACUGGGCAACAAGCUUUGGUAACCUCUAAUAACUAUUGUUGUUUGGGUAUUGUAGUGGUAUUGGGUCUAGACAGAGAAAGGCUGAGUUUUCAGGAAGGAAAAGAGUGUAAGCAACAGCAAAGUAUACUAGAAAAGAAUAUGGAGAAAAUGAGGAGAGAGGGGAGGGAAGAAAGAAGCACUCUAGAGAGACCUAUUUAGAAUUUUAGAACAAUGCACUUUGUUAUAUAGCAAGGCUAUAUAUAUAUACAUACAACAUACACAAUACAAUCAUAUGCAAUAGUUUUAUACGUUCUUGUGGAUGCUAUUGAAUGAAAGAUGCUGAAGGAGGAGAAAAACAGCAUUUAUUCAUGCAUGGCAUGCUUUUAAGUACUAUAAGUUAUUAUUUAUCUUCACAGGAGACUUUACAACAUAAUUACAAGGUAUCCCAGGAUGGAAAUUCUGUUCCUUUGUGCCACUGGAAUAUAAUAGUCAAAGUGUCUGAGUACAGUUUAUCAUCUGGAGCUUAGAGCUUUUAUUCUAAAAGUUGUCAAAGCUGCAUCAUAGAACAUGCAUGUUUUAUGUAUGUCUAAAACACAGGGGUAGCAAUUCUUUCAUCAGCAAGUUUCUGCUUAAUUAGAAAAAGUUAUAUUUAAAAAACACAGAAGCAAUAGCUUCCUCAUUUGUUUGUUCCUUUUUUCCAUGUUUGAUUGCAUAAAUAGAAGCCUGAAUCUCAAGUGCCCUGACUCAAUCAGCAGAGGCAGGCUGCAAAUCUUACUGGGAUAGCACUGGGCUUUUUGACACUCAUUGCCUUCACUUCUGUACUUGAGCCAACAAUGCAACAUUCACUUACGACAAGAAAAUUCAUGGUGAAGAAUGAUGUUCACGGUAGCAGCAUAUUCUCUGCAAUUUUAGGUACAGUGUCUUGUAAAAGGAAUGUUGCACCAGGAUGACCUCUGCUGCAGCUCUUUUAUUUGGGCUGAACGUGGGACUGGAUUGAUGGCCGGCCACCUUUCCCUUUGACACAGCCUGCUCCUUUUUUGCACCCUGAUUUGCUUUGUCCUAACAGAAGAAUGAUGCCACUUUGGUUUGUGUAUUUGGAAAAUGGAUUGUAAUAAUGGAAGCCAUAGCUGUUUAAUGAACUGUUGGAAUAAAGUUUUGGAAUUCAGAUUGCUUUGGAAAACUAGGACUGUUAAAAGCUGGAUUCAAAAAGCACCUAUGAGCACAGCAGUUUUAGCUGUAUUUUAGAUUCUCUGCUGGAUACAGAAGAUAAUUGGAAGGCAUGCAUUUGGGGAGUUGUCUUUCUAAACACGAGUUUAAAAUCAAAGUUUUCAAAGCCAAAUGUCUUUGAAAUUACUGAAGCUAAUGAAUACUUAGCAUCUCAGAAUACAAGCCUGCUUGUUUACAUUCUUCAGUCUGGAUCUAGCAUUCCCAUGCUAUUUUAAAAGCCUGUCUUUAAUGAAUAAUGUAAGUUUAAAUUCUGAUCAGUAAAGCUUUAGUGGCUGCCAUUAAGGUAAUAUUUGAAGUAAACCUGUUCUGACACAAAGCCUGGAUCACAGAUGGAGACAUUAACUGGAAAAUCUAUACCUUAAAAGUAUUGCUGUAUUUCUGUUUGGCACUUUCUGGAAAGAAAUAGCAGCGUGUGUGUUGGGUAGGUCUUGGGACAUGCCACAGUUGCUUGUUUACAUUCUGCAGAAUAGAUUGUGUGUUGUAGUAACUGUACAUAAGUAGACAAACUCUAAAACUGCAUGUAGCACUUUUAACACUUUAGAUAAGCUACACCUCUGGAACUACUUAGCACAUGCAGGUUUCUAAGAUAUCAAGCAGCCAAGCUCUAACGUUCAGAAUUUCUUGUAACAUUUCUGUAAGUAGGAGACCUGUUGUUUGUCUCAAAACUUGCCUGUUUUGACAAACUGUUACUCUAAUGUCCUCACUUGUGUUAAAUUAUUGCUGCUUUCAGGUGUGCUUGUUUCAAAACUGUGAUACCAAAGUAACCUCAUACAGGGGACAGAUGCCACAGUAAUAUUUAGGAUUAUUGUCAUUAUGUUUUCUUCUGCCUGGUAUUAAAUUUGGAUGGUAUAAUAUCUCUUGUGAAAUAGAACACUAGUAGAUAACUUGAAAACCAGGCACUGCCAGUUUUUUUUUUUCCUAUCGAACUAAUUUCCUUUGAACCUGAAGCAGCAUCCAUCAGAUCUUGUCAGCAGCACAACGAGGCAGGACUGUAUAUUGUCAGUGGAAUACCAAUUAGCCUUUAAUUUUACCACACGUCCAAUCAAAAGAGCUAUUGCUUUCACAUGAUGGCAGAAGGUCAUUAAAACAAAUGAUCUUGCUGCCAGACAAUGACAACAAAACCACAGCUCAGUAAGUAGUGUAUCUGUUAUUGAGCACUGACAGCACACUCAGUGCUGUGCUGCACUCAUUUUUUCAUUCUGAGUUGUUGCUGGUGAUCUGAUGGCCUGAGAGCUAUAGCUAAAACAUUGUCUCCUAACCUAACCUGUUAAGAUACAAUAUUAUUUGCUCAGACACACGAGUACACAGUUACUUUUGAUGUCAUAGCUGUCAAAUUCUGUAGCUCUUCCUUUGCUUUCAGCUGUGCUUGCAGUUUUAAUUUUUAGUAGUCUUCUCCAGAAGAAAUAGCAGCCUGUCCUUUAGUACCCUGAGUGGUGGUUCUUCAACCCUGGCGAAGUAAGUGCUGAUGCAUUACUUAAGAUGUUACAGUUUGUCUGGGUUCAGUCAUCAGGAUUCUCUGAAGUGUUUCACUUCAUAUUCUGCUGUGAACCAUGGCUGGUUCAAUGCUCUCUUCUGUUUGGGACAUGAAAGAAUUUCCAGAUUCUAACUUUCUCAUAUUUCUUAUCCUACUCAGUUUUAAACUUUCUUCUUGUAAGACAGUUGCCUGUUUUCCAUCCUUCAUCUUGAGAGCAAACUACUCCACAAAAUUCCAAAGUAAUGCAGUUACUACUGUAUAAUUGAAAGGUGCUAUUCACAGAUCUCAGUCAAUCACACAAAGCGUUAACAUGUGUUAAUGUUUUUACAUUCAAAAAUGACAUUCAAAAAACUCUAUGUACUGGUAAUAGAUACUAAUUCCCUUACCAUUUAUGCUUUUAAGAUAUCUGUGCAAAAGUAAAAUAGAGAAACAAAAUUGGAAAUAGAGUAUGAGUGACAACAAAAGAAAAUCCUACUCUAUAUGUAAGAAUUUCAGUUCAAGUCUGCAAUUUUUUUCUGUGCUGAGUUUUUCCACUGAUUUUGCUCAACAAUACCAUCAACACUGAGAACUCCUGCAGAGAUGCUGCACUGGUAGCAAUCAGGAAAAAAUAUUUUUAUACUUGUUGCACAAUAAUCUAGACACCCAGUUUGUGAUUUUUUUUUUCUGACUAACAGCUUCUUAAAAAGGAAAAAUUUGCACUGAUGGCAAAUGGUCCUGUGAGAGGCCCUUGACCUGUCUGUAAAUCAGGUUGCAAGUGAGCAUCCAGAAAAUGAGUAUUGUGUAAUCAUUAACCCAAUGACCACAUCUCUUCCCCCCCUCCUCCACAACUGAGGAAAGCUUAUUUUUUUCAGUGUCACCAGAAUGUUCUUAACGGUGAAGAAAAAAAGUGAUGUAGCUGUUACCCAAGUCAGUUAUAGUCUCCAAGCCUCCUGAUAGUAAGCAGAUCUCUUCAUAAGUGGUGUCCUGAGAAAGUAUGAUGCCUCCUGUCUGCUUCAUUCACCAAAUGCAGAGAUCAGAUAUUUGGAUUAGAGAACUACAGAUACAUGAAAACCAUUGCCUGUACUGUCUGUGGCAACCAGUCCUGGGUGGGUGUCCUGACUUGAUGGAAUGGGAAUGUAUGCUAAUUGAGUGCAGCACAGCUCUAGUAAGUCUGAUUUUUCACUGAGGUGUAUUCUAAAAGCUUUAGCUGAAGCCAUUGGCACAAUGCCCAAGAAUUACCCUGGACUGACUUUUACAAGGUGGUGAAAGGAUGGAGCAAAAGUGAGACCUGAAGUGUGAGAAAUCCUGUCUUCCAAGGAGAAUGUUUUAACUAACAGUGUAGUUGUGGGAAACAAAGAAAAAUAUUUUUCCAUUACCUAGUUUCUCACACUGCCACCUCAAAUGUGAUGGAUCAGAAAAGCCUUCAAGUAUUCUUUGUGCUCUGUCUCAUAAGCAGUUAUGGCUUAAAUCCUAAAGAGAGGAAUGGAGACAUAUAAGAAUUUACAUUAAAUAUGUGUAUUUGGUAUAAAAAACUUAAUAUCUACCUGUUGUGAAUUCAUGCCUCCAUAUUGAACUUUGUUUUCUUAUGGUUAUUUUAAACCCCUAAAGUACUGCUUAUUAAAUGUCUUUAGAAAUUAA
Long non-coding RNA from Pipra filicauda (Wire-tailed manakin), 7020 nucleotides. RefSeq lists it as uncharacterized. The transcript has 2 exons. Lineage: Eukaryota; Metazoa; Chordata; Aves; Passeriformes; Pipridae. The record is from RefSeq and is a predicted model, not a curated record.